This 575-nucleotide long non-coding RNA is filed under the name Glycine max (soybean). RNAcentral's name for it is "long non-coding RNA (GMAX_LNC003587)". The record is from RNAcentral. Lineage: Eukaryota; Viridiplantae; Streptophyta; Magnoliopsida; Fabales; Fabaceae.
AACAUUUCUAGCAUAUUGAUGGACUGAACUGGCCCUCGUGCCGCUCUCGGAAGAAUAAUGAAAAGGUCUUUGCACUCAUAUUUAUAUCCAAACAACACCAAAGAGACUGUGUGGCUGCAAAGCUCUCAAUGUGCUAAAGGGUGGAUCCAUGAGGACUAUGAUCCGCUAUAAACAACACCAGAAACAAAGAAAUCAUAAUAAUUAAGAAGAAAACAAUGGCUUGAAGCUUGUUUGGGAUUGAAGAAAGGAUGUGGUGUUUUUUUUCGAUAAAUGUUAAUUGUUAAUUUGUUAGUUUUUUUAUCCGCAGGAGUAAUCGAAAUCGCAAUCUCACCGUGUUUACUUAUGAAUGGUAGAGGGGACGUUGGUGGGGUGUACUGGCAUAUUUUGAGUUGGCUCAGGGGGCGAGUGGCGACCCAUACUGUGGGGAGUGGAUCCUUCUUUGCCAAAAAUGUUUUGAGGACAAAACAUGUUGUUGUUCCCCAUUUCCAUGGUUUCUUGCAAGUAUCUUCCUUCAUAAGCAAUAAGCAAUUAAUUGAUCAUGUUGUGAGAGAUGACUGAUAAAAUGGGAAGGUGCG